UAGAAGCCGAUGAAGGACGUUACUAACGACGAUAUGCUUUGGGGAGCUGUAAGUAAGCUUUGAUCCAGAGAUUUCCGAAUGGGGAAACCCAGCAUGAGUUAUGUCAUGUUAUCGAUAUGUGAAUACAUAGCAUAUCAGAAGGCACACCCGGAGAACUGAAACAUCUUAGUACCCGGAGGAAGAGAAAGAAAAUUCGAUUCCCUUAGUAGCGGCGAGCGAAACGGGAAGAGCCCAAACCAACAAGCUUGCUUGUUGGGGUUGUAGGACACUCUAUACGGAGUUACAAAGGACGACAUUAGACGAAUCAUCUGGAAAGAUGAAUCAAAGAAGGUAAUAAUCCUGUAGUCGAAAAUGUUGUCUCUCUUGAGUGGAUCCUGAGUACGACGGAGCACGUGAAAUUCCGUCGGAAUCUGGGAGGACCAUCUCCUAAGGCUAAAUACUCUCUAGUGACCGAUAGUGAACCAGUACCGUGAGGGAAAGGUGAAAAGCACCCCGGAAGGGGAGUGAAAUAGAACCUGAAACCGUGUGCUUACAAGUAGUCAGAGCCCGUUAAUGGGUGAUGGCGUGCCUUUUGUAGAAUGAACCGGCGAGUUACGAUUUGAUGCAAGGUUAAGCAGUAAAUGUGGAGCCGUAGCGAAAGCGAGUCUGAAUAGGGCGUUUAGUAUUUGGUCGUAGACCCGAAACCAGGUGAUCUACCCUUGGUCAGGUUGAAGUUCAGGUAACACUGAAUGGAGGACCGAACCGACUUACGUUGAAAAGUGAGCGGAUGAACUGAGGGUAGCGGAGAAAUUCCAAUCGAACCUGGAGAUAGCUGGUUCUCUCCGAAAUAGCUUUAGGGCUAGCCUCAAGUGAUGAUUAUUGGAGGUAGAGCACUGUUUGGACGAGGGGCCCCUCUCGGGUUACCGAAUUCAGACAAACUCCGAAUGCCAAUUAAUUUAACUUGGGAGUC
This 949-nucleotide ribosomal RNA is filed under the name Staphylococcus aureus. RNAcentral's name for it is "partial 23S ribosomal RNA". It matches the Rfam family "Bacterial large subunit ribosomal RNA", at positions 40 to 985 of the family's 2925-position model. The record is from RNAcentral. Lineage: Bacteria; Bacillati; Bacillota; Bacilli; Caryophanales; Staphylococcaceae.